Molecule: non-coding RNA, 151 nt
Filed under: Oceanibaculum pacificum
Lineage: Bacteria; Pseudomonadati; Pseudomonadota; Alphaproteobacteria; Rhodospirillales; Oceanibaculaceae
Description: FMN sequence
Rfam family: FMN riboswitch aptamer (RFN element)
About the family: The RFN element is a highly conserved domain that is found frequently in the 5'-untranslated regions of prokaryotic mRNAs that encode for flavin mononucleotide (FMN) biosynthesis and transport proteins.
Source: Rfam by way of RNAcentral
AGACGUUCUCGGGGCGGGGCGAAAAUCCCCACCGGCGGUAAGCAGGGAGAGCCUGUAAAGCCCGCGAGCGCCCGGCAAGCCCUCGCCGGGGUCAGCAGAUUCGGUGAGAUGCCGAAGCCGACGGUCAUAGUCCGGAUGAAAGAGAACGGGA